This 212-nucleotide long non-coding RNA is filed under the name Mytilus galloprovincialis (Mediterranean mussel). Lineage: Eukaryota; Metazoa; Mollusca; Bivalvia; Mytilida; Mytilidae. The record is from RNAcentral.
CCUUUGCAGAAAAAAACUUAUUAUUGAAUUAUCAGAACCCCCUCACUGUGUCAAUAGAUUAUCUGUAGCUAUGUCAAACAGUAAUAAAUCUAGGUUUACUUUAGAGUAACGUCAUGUUAACAAAUUUAUAGCAAAACGAAGGCUUUAAUUGACCAGAGGGUAUCAUCGUGUGUACACAUGUAUAUACAUCCGGAUUAUUUCACUUAUUUGGG